This 460-nucleotide ribosomal RNA is filed under the name uncultured bacterium. RNAcentral's name for it is "partial 16S ribosomal RNA". It matches the Rfam family "Bacterial small subunit ribosomal RNA", at positions 338 to 795 of the family's 1533-position model. The record is from RNAcentral.
CCUACGGGAUGCAGCAGUGAGGAAUAUUGGUCAAUGGACGAGAGUCUGAACCAGCCAAGUAGCGUGAAGGAUGACUGCCCUAUGGGUUGUAAACUUCUUUUAUAUGGGAAUAAAAUGUUCCACGUGUGGGAUUUUGUAUGUACCAUAUGAAUAAGGAUCGGCUAACUCCGUGCCAGCAGCCGCGGUAAUACGUAGGAUCCGAGCGUUAUCCGGAUUUAUUGGGUUUAAAGGGAGCGUAGGUGGAUUGUUAAGUCAGUUGUGAAAGUUUGCGGCUCAACCGUAAAAUUGCAGUUGAAACUGGCAGUCUUGAGUACAGUAGAGGUGGGCGGAAUUCGUGGUGUAGCGGUGAAAUGCUUAGAUAUCACGAAGAACUCCGAUUGCGAAGGCAGUUCACUGGACUGCAACUGACACUGAGGCUCGAAAGUGUGGGUAUCAAACAGGAUUAGAUACCCUUGUAGUC